Molecule: ribosomal RNA, 391 nt
Filed under: uncultured bacterium
Lineage: Bacteria
Description: bacterial SSU rRNA
Rfam family: Bacterial small subunit ribosomal RNA
Source: RNAcentral
AACGAACGCUGGCGGCGCGCCUAAUACAUGCAAGUCGAGCGAGAAGACGUAGCAAUACGUUUGUAAAGCGGCGAACGGGUGAGGAAUACAUGGGUAACCUACCCUCGAGUGGGGAAUAACUAGCCGAAAGGUUAGCUAAUACCGCGUACGCUCCUUGGACUUCGGUUCAGGGAGGAAAGCGAUACCGUGGGUAUCGCGCUCUUGGAUGGGCUCAUGUCCUAUCAGCUUGUUGGUGAGGAACGGCUCACCAAGGCUUCGACGGGUAGCUGGUCUGAGAGGACGAUCAGCCACACUGGCACUGCGACACGGGCCAGACUCCUACGGGAGCAGCAGUAAGGAAUAUUGCGCAAUGGGACGAAAGCCUGACGCAGCGACGCCGCGGUGGGGGAGU